Molecule: ribosomal RNA, 490 nt
Filed under: uncultured bacterium
Lineage: Bacteria
Description: partial 16S ribosomal RNA
Rfam family: Bacterial small subunit ribosomal RNA
Source: RNAcentral
AUUGAACGCUGGCGGCAGGCCUAACACAUGCAAGUCGAACGGUAACAGGAAGAAGCUUGCUUCUUUGCGGACGAGUGGCGGACGGGUGAGAAAUGUCUGGGAAACUGCCUGCUGGAGGGGGAUAACUACUGGAAACGGUAGCUAAUACCGCAUAACGUCGCAAGACCAAAGAGGGGGGCCUUCGGGCCUCUUGCCAUCGGAUGUGCCCAGAUGGGAUUAGCUAGUAGGUGGGGUAACGGCUCACCUAGGCGACGAUCCCUAGCUGGUCUGAGAGGAUGACCAGCCACACUGGAACUGAGACACGGUCCAGACUCCUACGGGAGGCAGCAGUGGGGAAUAUUGCACAAUGGGCGCAAGCCUGAUGCAGCCAUGCCGCGUGUAUGAAGAAGGCCUUCGGGUUGUAAAGUACUUUCAGCGGGGAGGAAGGGAGUAAAGUUAAUACCUUUGCUCAUUGACGUUACCCGCAGAAGAAGCACCGGCUAACUCCGUG